RNAcentral lists this ribosomal RNA (277 nucleotides) under uncultured Methanosarcinales archaeon. RNAcentral's name for it is "partial 16S ribosomal RNA". It matches the Rfam family "Archaeal small subunit ribosomal RNA", at positions 319 to 596 of the family's 1478-position model. The record is from RNAcentral. Lineage: Archaea; Methanobacteriati; Methanobacteriota; Methanomicrobia; Methanosarcinales.
GGCCCUACGGGGCGCAGCAGGCGCGAAAACUYUACAAUGCAGGCAACUGCGAUAGGGGAACAUCGAGUGAUCCUCAUAUUGGGGGUCUGUCCACUCGCCUAAAAAGCGGGUGUUAGCAAGGGCCGGGCAAGACCGGUGCCAGCCGCCGCGGUAAUACCGGCGGCUCGAGUGGUGGCCGAUAUUAUUGAGUCUAAAGGGUCCGUAGCCGGCUUUGCAAGUCUCUCGGGAAAUCCAGCGGCUUAACCGUUGGUCGUCCGGGGGGUACUACAUUGCUUGG